AUUGAACGCUGGCGGCAUGCUUUACACAUGCAAGUCGAACGGUAACAGGUUAAGCUGACGAGUGGCGAACGGGUGAAUAAUGCAUCGGAACGUGCCCGGUCGUGGGGGAUAACGCAGCGAAAGCUGCGCUAAUACCGCAUACGAUCUGAGGAUGAAAGCGGGGGACCGUAAGGCCUCGCGCGAUCGGAGCGGCCGAUGUCAGAUUAGGUAGUUGGUGGGGUAAAGGCUCACCAAGCCGACGAUCUGUAGCUGGUCUGAGAGGACGACCAGCCACACUGGGACUGAGACACGGCCCAGACUCCUACGGGAGGCAGCAGUGGGGAAUUUUGGACAAUGGGCGCAAGCCUGAUCCAGCAAUGCCGCGUGCAGGAAGAAGGCCUUCGGGUUGUAAACUGCUUUUGUACGGAGCGAAAAGGCUCUCUCUAAUACGGAGGGCUCAUGACGGUACCGUAAGAAUGAGCACCGGCUAACUACGUGCCAGCCGCCGCCGUAA
RNAcentral lists this ribosomal RNA (493 nucleotides) under uncultured bacterium. Its description in RNAcentral is "partial 16S ribosomal RNA". It matches the Rfam family "Bacterial small subunit ribosomal RNA", at positions 29 to 523 of the family's 1533-position model. The record is from RNAcentral.